CUCCAGACUCCUACGGGAGGCAGCAGUGGGGAAUAUUGCACAAUGGGGGAAACCCUGAUGCAGCGACGCCGCGUGAGUGAAGAAGUAUUUCGGUAUGUAAAGCUCUAUCAGCAGGGAAGAAGAAGGACGGUACCUGACUAAGAAGCCCCGGCUAACUACGUGCCAGCAGCCGCGGUAAUACGUAGGGGGCAAGCGUUAUCCGGAUUUACUGGGUGUAAAGGGGGCGCAGACGGCAGCGCAAGCCAGGAGUGAAAGCCCGGGGCCCAACCCCGGGACUGCUCUUGGAACUGCGCGGCUGGAGUGCAGGAGGGGCAGGCGGAAUUCCUGGUGUAGCGGUGAAAUGCGUAGAUAUCAGGAGGAACACCGGUGGCGAAGGCGGCCUGCUGGACUGCGACUGAUGUUGAGGCCCGAAAGCGUGGGGAGCAAACAGGAUUAGAUACCCGAGUAA
This 448-nucleotide ribosomal RNA is filed under the name uncultured bacterium. RNAcentral's name for it is "bacterial SSU rRNA". It matches the Rfam family "Bacterial small subunit ribosomal RNA", at positions 329 to 793 of the family's 1533-position model. The record is from RNAcentral.